Molecule: ribosomal RNA, 543 nt
Filed under: uncultured bacterium
Lineage: Bacteria
Description: bacterial SSU rRNA
Rfam family: Bacterial small subunit ribosomal RNA
Source: RNAcentral
ACGGAAUAGAUACCCUGGUAGUCCACGCCCUAAACGAUGUCUACUAGUUGUCGGGGAUUCAUUUCCUUGGUAAACGCAGCUAAACGCGUGAAGUAGACCGCCUGGGGAGUACGGCCGCAAGGUUAAAACUCAAAGGAAUUGACGGGGACCCGCACAAGCGGUGGAUGAUGUGGAUUAAUUCGAUGCAACGCGAAAAACCUUACCUACGCUUGACAUGCCAGGAACUUUCCAGAGAUGGAUUGGUGCCCGAAAGGGAACCUGGACACAGGUGCUGCAUGGCUGUCGUCAGCUCGUGUCGUGAGAUGUUGGGUUAAGUCCCGCAACGAGCGCAACCCUUAUCCUUAGUUGCUACGCAAGGGCACUCUAGGGAGACUGCCGGUGACAAACCGGAGGAAGGUGGGGAUGACGUCAAGUCCUCAUGGCCCUUAUGUGUAGGGCUUCACACGUCAUACAAUGGUCGGUACAGAGGGUCGCCAACCCGCGAGGGGGAGCCAAUCCCAGAAAACCGAUCGUAGUCCGGAUUGCAGUCUGCAACUCGACUGC